This 433-nucleotide ribosomal RNA is filed under the name uncultured bacterium. RNAcentral describes it as "partial 16S ribosomal RNA". It matches the Rfam family "Bacterial small subunit ribosomal RNA", at positions 29 to 507 of the family's 1533-position model. The record is from RNAcentral.
AACGAACGCUGGCGGCAUGCCUAACACAUGCAAGUCGAACGAGACCUUCGGGUCUAGUGGCGCACGGGUGCGUAACGCGUGGGAACCUGCCCUUAGGUUCGGAAUAACUCCCCGAAAGGGGUGCUAAUACCGGAUAAUGUCUUCGGACCAAAGAUUUAUCGCCUUUGGAUGGGCCCGCGUUGGAUUAGCUAGUUGGUAGGGUAAAAGCCUACCAAGGCGACGAUCCAUAGCUGGUCUGAGAGGAUGAUCAGCCACACUGGGACUGAGACACGGCCCAGACUCCUACGGGAAGCAGCAGUGGGGAAUAUUGGACAGUGGGCGAAAGCCUGAUCCAGCAAUGCCGCGUGAGUGAUGAAGGCCUUAGGGUUGUAAAGCUCUUUUACCCGGGAUGAUAAUGACAGUGCCGGGAGAAUAAGCUCCGGCUAACUCCGUG